AACAUAACACUUCACUAACUGGUACGAGGAAAUGUUAUGCUGUGAAGGGAAAGUAAACACUAUCUUGGACCAUACAAAAGAGAAGUAAAACUCAAUAUUUGAGAGCUCAAAACUAUUCAGGACCAUCGCAGAUGUCAGAAAAAGGGAAGGGAAAGAAAUGUGUUUUGAAGCUACUUGCUCUGUAAAGUUUUGGACGGACAAUGAAUAUCUCCUUUUGAUGUUCCAGGCAAAUUAUUAUUUGGCAUAAUACCUGAGUAAUUUUACAUAAUAACUGGGGUCCACUUCACACUUCAUCGACUAGCACCUGCAAAACAGUAGCCAUUUUCCAUUCCAUAACCAGCAACUGUUCAAAACCAGACAAGAAUGCAUCUAAAGGAACAACUUGGAAUUCUGGUGAUUAUUUUAGAAAUUUGAAAAGCAACGAGACAUGGUUUCGGAAGGAUUGCUGCUGGUCUAUCUAUCUAUCUAUCUAUAUGCAUAAAUCGAAGUGAAAACAUUAAUUAUAUUUUCGGUAUUGGUUGGUGUUCUGAAUUACAUGUUGCUGCUGUUGAAGGAGGAAUUGCCAUUUUAACUUGCAGUAAAUGCAAAGAGAACGCAGGAAGCUGGAGUGAGCUACAGAAUUCUGGUUUUACAGUUGAAUGGAGUGUAAAUACAAGCAGUGGAUUUUUGAAACUCACACAAACAGAGGUGUUCUUUGAAUCAAAUUCACUCAGAUUGCUGGGAGUUGCAUUAAACAACACUAGGGUGUAUAGGUGCGCUCUAAGGUAAGUGCAGAUGCUUGUGGUUACCGUUUAGGCCAAUGCUUUUUUUUUUUUAUAGUGCUCAGGAAGUGGACUUUAAGAUAUUUUUAAUUACCGAGGCAGUGAUGCUUUUUAAAACAGAUGUUGUUACGGUCACUUAAAGACCAGAGUAUGUCUUUAUUACAGUGUAUUAAAAAUAAUAAUAUUGUUUUACUUGUUAAUUAAAUUGAACACUCUAAUGUACAACAAUGAUGUAUUCUAUCAAUGUAUUAUUUUCUUGUGUAACACAGAAAUGCAACAGAUAUUGUUGAAUCCGGACACCUUGAGUUGGAAGUGUACAAAGGAAAGUGCUACAACAGAAAUGUUGAAUACUUAUGUUCCAGUUUUGUUGACCACUCCAUUAACCUCAUGUAUCCAGAGUUGGAACGGUUCUCUAGUACUAGCAUCGUGUAACAUGGGUGAAGUAUAGAACAUACAGAAAAGCAACAUCAUAAUUCAUUUUGGAUGAUAUCACCAUUAAUAUUUAAACAUCUUCAAGACGAACACCUCAAUCUGAAAUAUGACUGCAUACUUAGAAGCACUACAAAGGGUGGAAAUGGAUCAAUCGUUUUAAGAAAAAAAAAAAAAAGUAGGAUUCAGUCAGUUUAAUACUAUGCAAUAAGGAAUUGUUCAUAUUUUCAUUGAUUCUCUAUAACUACUGUAAAUGUCACACCUCUACGAAUGUAUACCAUACCGGCAGACAAACAAAACGAGGUUAAGCAUUUUAAUUAGAUUUUACUAAUGAGUUCUGGUGUAGAUUUAUUUUAUAUACAACUGCAUUGGAAUAGGUUACAACAGGAUAUCUGACCGAAAAUAUUUCACAUGUCUAAAUAUUUCACGUCACAUGUUUUUAUAGACUAAAUAAAUAAAUAAAUAAAUUGAUUGCUACCUUGUAGCUGGGCAUCGCUUACAUUCAAUUAAACACAACAAUGAAACUAUGUGCUCAAUUUCCAGUCCCCAGUUAUAAUGUCAACAUUUGUAUCGAAACAUUCAUAAGUGGAACGAGUAAACAAUUUAAAAACAUUUCUGUGGCGUCACCCUUUGAUCUUUUGAUUAAUUAAUUCUAUGAAUUAAAAGUGUCUGUGUGGCUCUGAAGAGAAGGGGAGUGCAGGGCAGAUAUUGUUGAUUAACUAAUGUACAGUUUGUGCACAAAUCCACAGAACAUUGUUGAUUAUUCAACGACAGUACAGUCAGAACAAUUCAACAGAAAAGCGAAUACCACUUUCAACAAAUAGUUAAUUACAGUUUUACACAUUACGAACAUAACACUUAGAAAGGGGCUUGUGAUUUCAGUUUAAUGUUUCAUAUUGCAAAUAAAAGUAAUACAAUAAUACAUUAACAAUGUAAAGACAAGUUUUCAGACUUACAAAUUCACAUCCACAUAAACACCCCCGUUUCUAAUUUUUAUUUGUAUCAGGAUCAGCAACAGCAAUUUCUUCAUCACUUAGUCUCAUGAACGUUAGCUGUAAAGUCAGCUUUUGCAUUUCUUCCAUUUAAUCAUUGUUCAAACAAGCUUACAGCCCACUUACAUUUUACCUGCGUACUUCUCGUAAACUGAUCGCUGGCAAUGAUAUUUAGUUCUUCAUCUAUUUUAGGUUUGGUAAAACCAUCAAUAACUUUACUCUCCAUUCCUGGUUCACAUUGUUUUUUUUUUUUUUUUUUUUUUUCUAAUGCUACGUAUAUGUUCUACAAGUAAAACUCAGUCCCACUACUAUCUUCACUUACAACAGAGACUUUUGACUAUGUGUGAUUUCAAACUCAAACUCUGAAGAACUCACAACAGCAUUCGCGCAAUGUGAGAGACAAACAUUUGAACGGUUUGAACUAGGCGUAACAAAGGAGCGAAAAUCAAGUCAUAUUACCAAAUGAACAAUCAAUUGAAUCUCGUUAUCGAAGUAUAAGAGCAGUUUAGUUUUUUAUAUUUAAACGCAUAUUAAGACUUUUUUAAAUAUUGUUGAGGAGUUGAAACAUCCAUGUAUUUAGACUAUAUACAUUUAUUGCUACAUAACUGAAUAUUGCUUAUAAGUAAAAGAAGAUUACACACCACUGGCAAUUCCAAAACUACUGUGUAAAACACAGCCUGACUAAUCUAUAAUGUGCAGUGUCUGACUUCCCCCUUUUUGUGUUUUGAAACUCUGCUUCUGUACAUUUUAGUAUAGGCUGUUGCACAGUACAAGCUGGUAUGACACAGCGAGAAAGCUCCCCUCGAGUAUUCAGAACCUUAUAUUGCAUCAUAUCAAACAGCAAUGGUUACUUAAUAACUUCAGGUCAAUUUGCGAGAUUGUUUAACAGUGUAUUGUGUUUGAAACCA
Polyodon spathula (Mississippi paddlefish) is the source of this 3090-nucleotide long non-coding RNA. RefSeq lists it as uncharacterized. The record is from RefSeq and is a predicted model, not a curated record. NCBI's taxonomy places the organism in Eukaryota, Metazoa, Chordata, Actinopteri, Acipenseriformes, Polyodontidae. The transcript is spliced from 5 exons.